GUGCUCGCUCAGAUAGCACAUAUACUAAAAUUGGAACAAUACAGAGAAGAUUAGUAUGGCCCCUGCACAAGGAUAGCAUGCAAAAAUUCAUGAAGCAUUCCAUGUUAAU
This 109-nucleotide small nuclear RNA is filed under the name Castor canadensis (American beaver). Lineage: Eukaryota; Metazoa; Chordata; Mammalia; Rodentia; Castoridae. The record is from RNAcentral.